CCUACGGGACGCUGCAGUAGGGAAUCCUUCACAAUGGGCCAAAGCCUGAUGGAGCAACGCCGCGUGCAGGAUGAAGGCCUUCGGGUUGUAAACUGCUUUUAUAAGCGAGAAAUAUGAUGGUAACUUAUGAAUAAGGAUCGGCUAACUACGUGCCAGCAGCCGCGGUCAUACGUAGGAUCCGAGCAUUAUCCGGAGUGACUUGGUGUAAAGAGUUGCGUAGGUGGCAUAAUAAGUAGCUAGUGAAAUCUGGUGGCUCAACCAUUCAGACUAUUAGCUAAACUGUUAAGCUCGAGACCGUUAGGGGUAACUGGAAUUUCUAGUGUAGGAGUGAAAUCCGUAGAUAUUAGAAGGAACACCAAUAGCGUAGGCAGGUUGCUGGGACGGUUCUGACACUAAGGCACGAAAGCGUAGGGAGCAAACGGGAUUAGAUACCCGAGUAGUC
This 442-nucleotide ribosomal RNA is filed under the name uncultured bacterium. Its description in RNAcentral is "partial 16S ribosomal RNA". It matches the Rfam family "Bacterial small subunit ribosomal RNA", at positions 338 to 795 of the family's 1533-position model. The record is from RNAcentral.